UUUAACUGAAGAGUUUGAUCAUGGCUCAGAUUGAACGCUGGCGGCAGGCUUAACACAUGCAAGUCGAGCGGGGAAGGUUGCUUCGGUAACUGACCUAGCGGCGGACGGGUGAGUAAUGCUUAGGAAUCUGCCUAUUAGUGGGGGACAACAUUCCGAAAGGGAUGCUAAUACCGCAUACGCCCUACGGGGGAAAGCAGGGGAUCUUCG
RNAcentral lists this ribosomal RNA (207 nucleotides) under Myroides marinus. RNAcentral describes it as "partial 16S ribosomal RNA". It matches the Rfam family "Bacterial small subunit ribosomal RNA", at positions 1 to 215 of the family's 1533-position model. The record is from RNAcentral. Lineage: Bacteria; Pseudomonadati; Bacteroidota; Flavobacteriia; Flavobacteriales; Flavobacteriaceae.